GACGAACGCUGGCGGCGUGCCUAAUACAUGCAAGUAGAACGCUGAAGGAGGAGCUUGCUUCUCUGGAUGAGUUGCGAACGGGUGAGUAACGCGUAGGUAACCUGCCUGGUAGCGGGGGAUAACUAUUGGAAACGAUAGCUAAUACCGCAUAAGAGUAGAUGUCGCAUGACAUUUGCUUGAAAGGUGCAAUUGCAUCACUACUAGAUGGACCCGCGUUGUAUUAGCUAGUUGGUGAGGUAACGGCUCACCAAGGCAACGAUACAUAGCCGACCUGAGAGGGUGAUCGGCCACACUGGGACUGAGACACGGCCCAGACUCCUACGGGAGGCAGCAGUAGGGAAUCUUCGGCAAUGGACGGAAGUCUGACCGAGCAACGCCGCGUGAGUGAAGAAGGUUUUCGGAUCGUAAAGCUCUGUUGUAAGAGAAGAACGAGUGUGAGAGUGGAAAGUUCACACUGUGACGGUAUCUUACCAGAAAGGGACGGCUAACUACGUGCCAGCAGCCGCGGUAAUACGUAGGUCCCGAGCGUUGUCCGGAUUUAUUGGGCGUAAAGCGAGCGCAGGCGGUUAGAUAAGUCUGAAGUUAAAGGCUGUGGCUUAACCAUAGUACGCUUUGGAAACUGUUUAACUUGAGUGCAAGAGGGGAGAGUGGAAUUCCAUGUGUAGCGGUGAAAUGCGUAGAUAUAUGGAGGAACACCGGUGGCGAAAGCGGCUCUCUGGCUUGUAACUGACGCUGAGGCUCGAAAGCGUGGGGAGCAAACAGG
Molecule: ribosomal RNA, 763 nt
Filed under: uncultured Streptococcus sp.
Lineage: Bacteria; Bacillati; Bacillota; Bacilli; Lactobacillales; Streptococcaceae
Description: bacterial SSU rRNA
Rfam family: Bacterial small subunit ribosomal RNA
Source: RNAcentral